CGACCGAAACCGAAGAACAGAGCAAAGGCUCUUCGGUCUCUCUCUACCUCCACCGGCCACCAAACGGCGUCGAACCACUUCCUUUUGCUUCGUCUCAGCCUUGCGCAGCUGCCAGAGGCAGCCUUGCACCGUGACACGGCCACCAGCGGCGGCGGGAAACUCCGCCCGGUUUGAGCUCGUUUUGGAACCAAGCUUGAUAUCUCAAGCUACCGGUCACCAAUCCUCACCAAAAUCCAUCCACAAGCUUGCCUCAACUUCCUGAAGCUCCCAGAAGCAGCCUCACACGGCGGCGUGGCCCGUAGCAGUGGCUGCAAGUCAAACCCAACCAAGAACGAAACCGGAGCUAUCGAUCCGGAUAUCUCGAGCUACAGACCAUCAUUUCUUGUGAUUCUUGAGCUGGUGAACUCAGAUUGAAGUUUUGAACAACUUUCAUGAAGGGAUCGAAGCGAGAAAUUGAAGUUUUUACGUCGGAAUUCAAGCUCGCCGGAUUCUGGAAAUUUUCCGGCCACCGACGCUUUCGAUCAAGAUAUCUCGAGCUGUAGAGCUUCGUUUUGAGUGAUUCUUGAACCAGUGAGUUCGUCUUUAAGUUCUGAACAAGUCUCCUGAAGGAAUCGAAGCGAAAGGAGGACAUUUUUACGUUGAUCGGAGCUUCGCCAGUUUCUGCAAAUUCUCGCCGGUUUCUGGAAAAAUUCCGGCCACCUCGACUGUUUUAGGUGAUCGAUGGAUUUAUUUGGCGGACGAUUCGUGAGAUUGUUAAUUGAGCUGUUAAGAAGACGCAGCUGGAUCAGAGCGGAUAAUCCUACAGGACUGGAGAAUUCAGGAAGGUGAUCGAACCGUGUAGAGUAGCUGCUUUGUAAUACUCUGAUUUUCAGUUGUGAGGUUUGUUAUGCUCAUUAGAGCUUUACAAUUUACUUUGUACGAGUGAGUUGUAAUAAUUAACUCGAGGUCUUCGAGUUUUGAAUUUGAGCGUGAGUGGCGAGGUUGUUUCUGAGAAAAAAAAAUUCAGAACGUUUAUUUGUUUAAGUUGUUUAAUUCA
Long non-coding RNA from Rosa rugosa (rugosa rose), 1036 nucleotides. RefSeq lists it as uncharacterized. The transcript has 3 exons. Lineage: Eukaryota; Viridiplantae; Streptophyta; Magnoliopsida; Rosales; Rosaceae. The record is from RefSeq and is a predicted model, not a curated record.